GAAACCAACAGGGAUUGCCUCAGUAACGGCGAGUGAAGCGGCAAAAGCUCAAAUUUGAAACCCUCGGGAUUGUAAUUUGAAGAUUUGGCAUUGGAGAAAGCUAACCCAAGUUGCUUGGAAUAGUACGUCAUAGAGGGUGACAACCCCGUCUGGCUAACCGUUCUCCAUGUAUUGCCUUAUCAAAGAGUCGAGUUGUUUGGGAAUGCAGCUCAAAGUGGGUGGUAAACUCCAUCUAAAGCUAAAUACUGGUGAGAGACCGAUAGCGAACAAGUACUGUGAAGGAAAGGUGAAAAGAACUUUGAAAAGAGAGUGAAAUAGUAUGUGAAAUUGUUGAUAGGGAAGGAAAUGAGUGGAGAGUGGCCGAGGUUUCAGCCGCCCCUCGUGGGCGGUGUACUGCCGACGCCGAGUCAUCGAUAGCGAGACGAGGGUUACAAAUGGGAGCGCCUUCGGGCGUUCUCCCCUAACCCUCCACACUGCCACCGAC
Molecule: ribosomal RNA, 484 nt
Filed under: Yarrowia lipolytica
Lineage: Eukaryota; Fungi; Ascomycota; Dipodascomycetes; Dipodascales
Description: eukaryotic LSU rRNA
Rfam family: Eukaryotic large subunit ribosomal RNA
Source: RNAcentral